This 798-nucleotide long non-coding RNA is filed under the name Olea europaea subsp. europaea. Lineage: Eukaryota; Viridiplantae; Streptophyta; Magnoliopsida; Lamiales; Oleaceae. The record is from RNAcentral.
AAAGAAGCUCUUAUGAUGAUUUUUAAAUUGGGCUUUUAGUAUCUAGUGCGUGGUUGAGCUUGAAAUUGAUCGGCAUUUUAUUAGGAUGAAGUUAAAGAUUGUUGUUUUAUAUAUCAAGCCACUUGCUAUAUAAAUUGAAAAUCAAUUGAUUUGAUGAGGAGAUAAUCACUUAGGUUGUGAAACUGAAUUAGUUGUUUAAUGACAGUAUUAAUGGUAGAUUGCGUAAAGUUCAGGAAAGAUGAAUUACUUUUUUAUUUGAAAAUGAGUAGAAUGUGUUACCAUGGCUAUUUUGAGUAUUGGACUCGAACAAUUACCCACUAUAUGUUGUUUGUAGUUUGCAUUCAAGCAUUUGGGUUUGAUUUUAGAUAUUUGAGAUGGAAUCAAACUUAGACGAAGCGCUCAGGUUUAAAGCAAAUGCUGAGAAGAAGUUUGUAGAGAGAAAUUUUGUCGGUGCAAGGAAUUAUGCUUUAAAAGCUCAGAUGUCCUGUCCUGAACUGGAGGGCGUUUCUCAAAUGGUGGCAACUUUUGGGGUUUACAUUGCUUCAGAUAAUUUGAUUUCUAUUCAAUUCUUGGAAUGGAUCCAUCCGCAUACAAGUCUAAGUUGAAGACACGGUACAAGAAGAUGACAAUGUUGCUUCAUCUCGAUAAGAACAAAACUGUGGGUGCUGAAGGAGAAAUGGUAAUUGCUGAAGAGAGUUUUGAAUAAUUACGUAGUCUAGUUUUUGUAUUUAUAGGCUAACAUGUUUUCUUUGAUACAAGUAAUUUCAUUUUUUCAAGUGUGUAAGAAGGAUUUGUGAU